AGUUUUUGUAGAGGAGAGCUCUUGCCAUGUUGCCCAGGCUGGUCUCGAACUCCUGGGCUCAAGCAAUCCCCUCGCCUUGGCCUCCCACAGUGCUGGAGUACGGGGCCUGGCCGUGGACUCCACUUUCUACAUAGCCUGCUAUGCGAAGCCUAAUUCACGCCAAGGGCGUGGAGUUGAUUUAGGGCUAAUUCACAUGCCCGCCCUGAGGUGCCUACUUCAUCUGGUACAGGUUGUUGGUGCCGCGGUGGUCGAUGUCAUGGCACAGGCCGGCUGUCACCAUGGCGAAGGCCUCCAGAACAGGAACCGCACCAGGACCUGGGGGAGCCGAGAGGACACAGGGCUCCGGCGGCAAGCGUGUAAGUCCCGCCAGAGCGGCACCUGUGGCUGACUUCACAGUGGAAGCCCUGCUCCGUGCCAUCAUCCCCACACCGUCUCCUGGACUUCCCGAUCUUCCCCAUCCCUGCGUUUCCCACUGGCCUCUGCUGGCCUUCCUGGGUAGGGGCUGCCACAUUGGCACCUAUGGGGUGGAGCCAGGUAGGGCAGGAGCUGAGAACAGCCCCAGCCUUCAGGGGCCGCCCAGCCUCCAUCCGACUGCCUGGCCUCAAGCUGGGAGGAGGACCCCUGGGGAUGCAGCAUAUUUUAAGAUGUUGGUUUUAGGCAUGGACAUUUGAAUGAGCAGAAUGUGUGGGCUGCAGGCUGGGGUGGGAGAACCGAUGUCCGCAGGGCAAGAGAAUGCUGGUCUCUCUUGCCCUGCGGACAUCGCCAGGAGGCUCUUCCUGCGGCCAUUGUGAUUUUUAGGGUCAGAAAAUUAUUUGGAAAUAUUUUUUAUUCUGCAAAUAUUUUCUAUACAUUUUUUCUUGAGUGUUUUCCCUUAGUAUUUAGUAAAACUUCUUUUGAAAAUGCUGGCCUGCUGCACCUGUUCUCAGAGGGGCAUGAGAAAAGAGGAUUCUCUUCCUAGGGCUGUGGGAAGCCCCUUGAGAUGUUGGAAGCAGGGCAGGGCAGGAGAACCCAGGGAGGGCACAGAGCUGUGGACGAGGGCUGGGAAAGCCAUCCCGCCUCCCCAGGGGGUCUCCGAGGAGUGCUGCUGUGGCCAAACCAGGGGGGCCACUUUGUGCUUUCUGUUUAGGUGAUGGGAUGCUUCUAUCUCCUCAGCACCCCACACCAAAUCCCCUGUUAUUGCCAGAUGAUGUGCCUAAUGAUCAAAUUGCUUGGAACUCCUAAUAAUAAAACUUUAAAUCUAUCCAUUCACCAUCCAUCUGCUGUCCACCCAUCCAUUCACCCAUUCAUUGACCCAUCUAUUAAUUCAUUAAUUGACCCACCUACUCAUCUAUCACUCAUCCACCCACUUCUCCAUCCAUCCACCUAUCCAUUCACUUAUCCAACCAUCUAACUACCAUUGGCCCACUCACCCAUCCAUCCAUUUAUCCAACCAUCCAACUACCAUUGGCCCACCCACCCAUCCAUUUAUCCAACUAUCCAACUACCAUUGGCAUCCACCCAUCCAUUCAUUUAUUCUUCCUUUGUUUCUUUCUGCUUGCCUGUUGGCCUUCCUUCCUUCCUAACCUCCCUCCUUCCUCCCUGCUUUUCACCCAUCCAGCCAUCCAUCAAUCCAGCCAUCCACCCAGCCAUCCAAUUAUUUGUUUUAUGCUUACUUCCCGUGUGCAUUUUACCUGUUCUGUGAUGAACAUGUCGGCCCUCUAAACUUCCUGUGGGAUCUGGAACCCCCAAUCCCAUCCCCCUCACCUUCUGGGGCACCUGAGGCCCUGAUCACAUCCCCACCCCCAUGUCCUGGGCGGCCUCAGGGACCUGACUAUGCGCCCUGCGGUGUCUCCCACCUCCUGGGGGAUCUGGAACUUUCGGACCACGCCCAGCUCGUAGUACAUCUGGAUGCCACAUUUGACCAGGUCCAGUUCGGUGCACUCCAGGUCAGAGAAGUGGAAUUCGUAGAUGUCAAAUGUGGUGGGCCCUGGCAGCUCCUCCUUCUGUGGGAGGGAUUGUGGGCUGAGGGAGGUUGGCCUGCCACAGCCCCCACUUGCUUCUCAUCCUUUCUUCUCUCCAGAUCCCCUGCCAAGCCUCAGACACCUCAGGCAUCUCUGAGGAGAUGUGUCAUUCCUGGCGCUCCAGCCUGUAUCCCAGGCUGCUCACACGCCCCCCUGGCUCAGCCUCACUCUCCCCUCUUGUACCCUGUGGCCCAACAGUGAAGAACUUGCCCAGUUGGGUGGACAGGGUGAUGUUGUUGAGACAAGAAAACACAAAGGUGUGCACAUGAAAAGAAACACACACACACACGGAUACAGACACACGUGACACAGGCACACCUGGAUACACGGCCACUCCCAUGAAUACAAAGGCACCGGUGUGGACACACAGGCACACACAUGAGCACCCAGGCACACCCACAGACAUGCAGGCACACACGUGCAGACUCACGCAUGUAGGCUCACACACACAGCCAUGAGGUAACACACACAACAGUGGACUUUCAGACCCACCAGGCACAUUCCCAUGCUCAGUCCAAGGCCUACUCACAAGGCUCGUGGCCCCGGGAGAUUCUGGCUAAAUUGCAUAGGCAGACACAGGGUGAUGGGGACACCACAUAAUCCCCACAUUGAUCCAGCAAUCGUCUCUAGGAGACACACACAAGCAUGUGUCUAUAUAUAUCCAUGUGCACACACAUGCACACACAAUACACACCCCCUGUGCACAUGUGAGCACACACACAUGGGUGCACACACGGGCACACACACACAAACGCCCAUGUGCACACACAUGCACACACAUACUCGUGGGCACACAUGUGCACACACAUGUGUACACAUGUGCACAUUCAUACAAUGCACACACGCACACACAUACCCACAUGUGCACACACACACCCACAUGUGCACACAUGUACACACCUGUGCAGACGCCCACGUGUGCACACACACCUACAUGCACACACACGUACACACUUGUGCACACACAGACACCCACAUGUGCACACACAUGCACACAGACACCCAUGUGCGUGCACACAUGCGGAUGCACACACACUGGGAGUUGCAGGCACCUAGGCACUCUGAGAGCAGAGAUGACAUAGAUGGACACAGAGUCCAAGUCAGGCCCACUAAACAUCCGGUGAAAACUAAACAUCUGGCAAAGCACAGAGGAGACAGGAAGACACGAAGAUACACUCAGGAGUGCAGACAUCAAAGCCACAUUCUGGCCAUGCAAACACACUCAGGGACACACUGGCUGAGACUGAAAGCCAGGCUUAUGUACACACACGUACACUAAGGUGCUUAGAUACACAAGUAUACACACACAGCACCAACAUCCCUGAUGACCGUGUGUGCAAAGCACCGUCGGGUCCCGGAGAAUGCAGAACUCUUCCUCCCAGCCUCACACGUGGCCGGCCUCCAUGGGAGGGACGGGAGCAAGGUUCUUACCAGGAUUUCGCCCAGCUCGUCCUCAUCGCAGUCAGCAGGCUCCUUCCCCAGGCGCGCUCUGGUUGGCUACACAGAGACACAGAUGUGUCACGAGAAAGAGCUUCGCAUGUGGGACAAGGUGACGGCGGUGCGUCCACCCCGUGUGAGCUAGAGGAAGGUGCUGUCAAGAGCUUGUGCUUUCACCCUGGGAAGGCCCUGGCGGCCUCUGAUCUGGAGACAAAUGACCGUGUGCAUGGCCUGCUGACUUUCCCACCUGUCCUCUCUCGGGCACUGCCUUACGCAGUCCUCAGGUAUAAUGAUGGGACUCUCUCAUGAUGACCAGGAGGGCUCUGGCCAUGCAAGGCCCCUGGCUGGGGAGAUUGAGCACAGGGAAGGGAUGCCAGGGCCGUGCAGACAGAGGGACCUCGGGGGCAUGCCAGGGCUGUACUCAGCUCUGGCCCCAGGGCCGUGUCCCCACCACACAGAGAGAGCUGUGACCCCUGGGUAACCUGGCCGCCCACUGCACAGAGGGAGCCGUGACCCCUGGGUGACCUGCCCCACACAGCUGUGACCCCUGGGUGACCUGCCCCCACCGCACAGCCAUGACCCCUGGGUGACCUGCCCCUGCCACACAGCCGUGACCCCUGGACGACCUGCCCCGCACACCUGUGACCCCUGGGUGACCUGCCCCCACCACACAGCCAUGACCCUUGGGUGACCUGCCCCGCACACCUGUGACCCCUGGACGACCUGCCCCCGCCGCACAGCCGUGACCCCUGGUGACCUGUCCCUGCCACAGAUCCAUGACCCCUGGGUGACCUGCCCCCGCCACACAGCCGUGACCCCUGGCGACUUGCCCCCACCAUACAGCCAUGACCCCUGGUGACCUGUCCCCACCGCACAGCUGUGACCCCUGGUGACCUGCCCCCGCCGCAGAGCCAUGACCUCUGGGUGACCCCUGGAUGGACCCCUGGACGACCUGCCCCCACCACACAGCCGUGACCCCUGGAUGACCUGCCCCCACCGCACAGCCAUGACCCCUGGGUGAGCCCUGGAUGACCUGCCUCUGCUGCACAGCCAUGACCCCUGUGACCCCUCAAUGGACCCCUGGACGACCUGCCUGUGCCACACAGCCAUGACCCCUGGGUGACCCCUGGACGACCUGCCCCUGCCGCACAGCCGUGACCCCUGGGUGACCCCUGGACGACCUGCCCCCGCCGCACAGCCAUGACCCCUGGCCGUGACCCCUGGGUGACCCCUGGACGACCUGCCCCCACCGCACAGCCGUGACCCCUGGGUGACCCCUGGAUGACCUGCCCCCACCACACAGCCGAGACCCCUGGGUGACCCCUGGACGACCUGCCCCUGCCACACAGCCGUGACCCCUGGGUGACCCCUGGACGUCCUGCCCCGCCGCACCAGGAUGAGCUGGAUCUCGUCCCUGUCGCACUUCACGUGGUAAAGGACCAUGUCCUGUGCGAUGUCCUUGCGGUUCUCCAGCUUGUUCAUCUUGUCGUAGGUGUCGGUGUUCAUCACUGACCAGCCCAGGAACUGUGUCAGGGACUGGAGGGGAUGGCAGUGUCACUGGCGCUCAGCGCUCCCGGCGCGCCCCCUCCCAUGUGCCUGUGUGCCAGGCCCCGUGGCUCGGCGGGCAGGUCCUGGGGCUGCCACCAUGGUGUCGCAGUGCUUCUGUGUGGGGUCUCCCGGGUGCUCUGCAGAGGCUCCUGCUCCCGGGGGGGCCCUUUGUCGUCCUCUCCCUGGCCGCAUGCAUACCGCACACACAUGAGCACACGCACACAGCCGAAUGCUUGGCGGGGAGGCCCCCACACCGCACAGGCCCCACCCCUCGCAGGGCAUCCCCGGCGGAACCACGUCUGCCCAGGUGCUUACCUCCAUGAGAACCUCGUCCUGUUCGUCAAAGGGCUUCCCGUCUUUCCUGUUGUAAAAUGUGGCGACUCCCACAAUCUCCUCCUUCUUGUUGACGAUGGGCAUGGACAGCACAUUCUUGAUGAGCCACCCGGAGUCGUCCAGGGCCCCUUCCUGCGGGAGCGGUGUCCAGAGCUGAGCUCCGCCCUGAGGCUGGCCCUGGCCCGGGCGUGUGGCCGGGGAGAGUGACCUCAUGUCUUCUCCCCUAGAGCCGUGACGGCUGGGCUCGUGUUCCUGUCUCUGCUCUCUGCAUUCCCUCUCUCCCUCUCUGCAUUUGGAGUUUGUGUCCAUGGUUUUUGUGUCAUGAUAUUUUCCCACCGGAGGAGGUAGAGGCCGUUUUCCCACCAGGAGUGGUUUCAUGGGCAUGUGUGUGGGGCGGCGGUCACGGCCUCGCAGGGGUGUGUGGGGGCCGCGGUCACGGCCUCGCAGGGGUGUGUGGGGGCCGCGGUCACGGCCUCGCAGGGGUGUGUGGGGGCCGCGGUCACGGCCUUGCGGGCGUGUGUGGGGGCUGUGGUCACAGCCCCAGGUGAUCCACCCGCCUCAGCCUCCCAAAGUGCUGGGAUUACAGGCGUGAGCCACCAUGCCUGGCUGAAGUUGUUUUUUAAGUGGCAAAAACGAAUUCACUUCAUCAUCGCUGAAUCAAAAUCUCCUCUUUUGUAAGUAAGUAUAAUUUCUACCAAGGCACAGACAGAUACCUGAAAUUUGAACAUUUCGUCAGCGGAAGCAUUCAUGAUGUUACAAAUCUGAAAAAGCAUCAGAAAAACGAUUUCAUCCAAAACAGCGGAAGGUCUGUUAUGAUCUAAAAUGGCCUCUGUGGCCCUGAGGUGAGCUUUUAAGUAGGUAAAGCAGGGCAGCUGGGGGCUUCACUGAGGCACGUGGAGCUGGCCGGGAGGGCGGGACGUGGCAGAGACAAGGAGAAGCACACAUCGCCGCACCCAGUGAGGGCAAGGCUGUGGGGACUCCAGACAGCACGGGACUCACAAAGCCGCUUUCUGCCACGUAGCUUGGAAGGCCGCUGGCCAGGGCCCAGUGAUCGGCUGAGGGUGUGCUGUGGGCAGAGAGCAGGGGUCAGAUAGGCCACGCCGGGCUGGAUGUGCGCGUGCAGGAGUCAGAGGGACUGGAUGUCUGUGUGCAGGGGUGAGAGGGGCUGGUCUAGGCUGCACGUGUGUGUGCAGGGGUCAGAGGGGCUGGUCUGGGCUGCACGUGUGUGUGCAGGGGUCAGAGGGGCCAGGCUGCGCUGGAUGUAGGUGUACUGGGGUCAGAUGGACUGGGCGUGUGUGCAGGGGUCUGGGGGUCUCUGGCUCAUGUGCCAUCCUCAGCAUUUACUCUCUUCUCUGAGUGCCAGGGGGUUCAGGAGGCGAGGAGGCCAGGGCGUGGGUUGGAGGACGGCUGUGCUGCCUUCUUCCUCCUCCCCAGGCUGCCGUGCUGGGGCCCCUCCCUCUUGGGAACCCCUCCCUCUCCGGAGGCCGUAUGGCUUCAGCCUGCUUUCUAGGACUCAGCGUUGGUGCCUGCCCUGCCACCCUGACCCUGACUUGUGCUCAAGCCUGGCACCUGGAUCCUGGUUCCUGCUUGGGGCCUGGGGAUGGGGUCCCAAUAGGCUUAUGGGAUCACAGGGCCACUGGGCCACCAGCUGCCCCUCCCUUGGCUGGAGUCCUGCCCUGACCUCCGGACUGGAGUUCCCCUCCUCUUCCAGCCCCACGGGGCCAAGACUCGGCCUCCUGGCUGGAGGCUCCACUGUCUGGGUGGGGCUGGUGGUGCCAGGGUCAAAUCCUGGGGCCUUCAUGCUCAAUUGUUGCUGACGAGGCCGCCUGGACAGCUUGCCUGGUCCCCUGUAUGUCCACUCUGGAUGUCCACAGUGACUCGGGCUCCUCAGCAGCCCACGUCCUCCUCACCAUCUCCCAGAACAUUGGAGUCAGGGAAACAGAGGCGUGUGGACAGGCCCUGGGCCCCUCCCCUAAGACUCACCCGGCCAUCAGGCGUGCGUGGGCCCGAGUACGGCUGGGACUCUCCCAUCAGCACAGACCACACGUCAAAAAAUUCCUGGGCAGAGAAGAGGAGGCCCACGGAGUACCGCUCGCAGUUGAGGUAGGCCCGCACCGUGUAGAAGGCCUUGUGGAACUGCCUCUCGAUGUCCGUCAGCUCCUCAAACACCUUGUUGGCCGACCACAGCAGCACCUGGAGGGAGGGGCACACCUGUGGGCCUGUGGCCACUCCCACCCUCACGCCGGUCUGACCACAGCAGCAGGGGUUUAACUCAAGCCUGACACAGGUUUCAUCUGAGCUUGUGGGGCCCGGGAGCUGGCUGGCGGUGAGGCCUCGAGGCUGCGGUCGUGUCCCUGAUCACUCAGGAGUGGACGAGUGGAAAGUGGAAUCUGUCGCUUUGAGCUUGACAGGCAAACAUCCGACCAGCCCUUCCUCCGCCCGGCUGCUCCAGAACCACCUGCGGCGAGCAGGGCUUUGAGAACAUCGGGCCGUGGUUUCCGCACGUCAGGCCGCCUGUGGCCUCCGCCAAGCGUCUGAGAGUGAAGCAUUGCUGACGCACUCCACGAGGUCCUGGCCAGACCCCACUCAGGACAUCCCGCUGCACAGGCCCCUGGUUGCUGGGUCAGCGCUGCCACCAGGCUCAGACUCACCCCAGGGCCCUCCUUGGGCCACCUUUCUCUGCCUCCUUGGUCAAGGCCCAGACCCAGGCCCCACCAGGCCCUGCCUCCUCACACUCGCGGCGGCCGCUGGGUCUUCUACCGCAUGGUGCCAGCUCCCUCUCCUCCGCUGCGGUGUCCUAGCCCAGCUCUCUCCCUGCCAGGCCCUCUGAAGUUCCACCCCCUGGCACUCAGCUCAUGGUGGGAACAGGACCAGGCUCUCCUGUUGCCAAGGGCAGUGAGAUGUUCGUAGCUUUAUUUCCCAGUACAUUGAUUUUACUGAUUUUAGUUUAUCUUCAGUUGAAUAAUUGUGUGUAUUGAUGGGGUUUAUGUUUUAUGGGGUUUGGCGUGAUGUUCUGAUGUAAGUAUUUGUUGCAGAAAGAUUCAAUUAAGCUAAUCAACAUAUCCAUCACCUCACCAACUUGUUUUUUUUGUGGUGAGAACAUUACAAGUCUAUUUUCUAGCAAUUUGGUAUACAAUACAGUCAUCCCUCGGCAUCCUCAGGGAAAUUGGUUCCAGGACGCCGCUCUGAUAACAAAAUCCGAGGAUGUUCAAGUCCCGGAUGUGAAAUGGCCUAGAGUUUGUACAGAGGUUGCACACGCACCCCCAGGACUUCAAAUCAUCUCCGAUGACUUAGCACCCAGUGCAAGGCAAGGCCAUGAAAACGGCUGUUCUACUGUAUUGUUUUACAUUCUUAUUCUUAUUUUUAAUUUAAAACUUUUCCCACAUCAUAAAUCCUCGGAAG
RNAcentral lists this long non-coding RNA (8720 nucleotides) under Homo sapiens (human). RNAcentral describes it as "non-protein coding lnc-ATP5ME-1:12". Lineage: Eukaryota; Metazoa; Chordata; Mammalia; Primates; Hominidae. The record is from RNAcentral.